AAAUAUUUCACAAUCCAAUGCAU
Molecule: small nuclear RNA, 23 nt
Filed under: Arabidopsis thaliana (thale cress)
Lineage: Eukaryota; Viridiplantae; Streptophyta; Magnoliopsida; Brassicales; Brassicaceae
Description: snRNA_05621
Source: RNAcentral